AACGAACGCUGGCGGCAUGCCUAACACAUGCAAGGCGAACGAGACCUUCGGGUCUAGUGGCGCACGGGUGCGUAACGCGUGGGAACCUGCCCUUAGGUUCGGAAUAACUCCCCGAAAGGGGUGCUAAUACCGGAUAAUGUCUUCGGACCAAAGAUUUAUCGCCUUUGGAUGGGCCCGCGUUGGAUUAGCUAGUUGGUAGGGUAAAAGCCUACCAAGGCGACGAUCCAUAGCUGGUCUGAGAGGAUGAUCAGCCACACUGGGACUGAGACACGGCCCAGACUCCUACGGGAGGCAGCAGUGGGGAAUAUUGGACAAUGGGCGAAAGCCUGAUCCAGCAAUGCCGCGUGAGUGAUGAAGGCCUUAGGGUUGUAAAGCUCUUUUACCCGGGAUGAUAAUGACAGUACCGGGAGAAUAAGCUCCGGCUAACUCCGUG
Molecule: ribosomal RNA, 433 nt
Filed under: uncultured bacterium
Lineage: Bacteria
Description: partial 16S ribosomal RNA
Rfam family: Bacterial small subunit ribosomal RNA
Source: RNAcentral